This 253-nucleotide ribosomal RNA is filed under the name uncultured bacterium. RNAcentral describes it as "partial 16S ribosomal RNA". It matches the Rfam family "Bacterial small subunit ribosomal RNA", at positions 524 to 776 of the family's 1533-position model. The record is from RNAcentral.
UACAGAGGUCUCAAGCGUUGUUCGGAUUCAUUGGGCGUAAAGGGCGCGUAGGCGGCUCGGCACGUCCGUUGUGAAAUCGCCCGGCUCAACUGGGCGGGGUCAGCGGAUACGGUCGAGCUUGAGCAAGCUAGGGGGUAAUGGAAUUCCCGGUGUAGUGGUGGAAUGCGUAGAUAUCGGGAGGAACACCAGUGGCGAAGGCGGUUACCUGGGGCUUUGCUGACGCUGAUGCGCGAAAGCGUGGGGAGCGAUCCGG